CUGGAGGUGAUGCAAGGCUGGUGUCCACUCUGGGAGUUACAAAGGCAGAAGCAAGAGGACCUACAGAAAGUAGAUCCUGUGCACCCCACAAAUCUCGAGUCUCUGGAGACUUAAUGAAAAGAAAAGCAUGCUUAGAAGUAGUUCGUGGUGCUCACUACUGAGACGGUGAGAGCCCCAGGCCAGGAGGGACGCCAUCUUGGUCAAAACUGGAUUUUUCUGAGAAACCCAGAUUCCUCCAACCUCCCACAGCCUCCAACUCGCAGCGGGCCUGCCAGACACACAGAAAAUGCUGGAGGGUAUUCUGAGACAGCUUGCGGAGCCCACGCAAACGGAGCCCGGGAUUCCCUGUCUGGGGCCAUCGGAGUUGCUCUCAAAGAGGGUGAUGGCGUGGGGCACACAGGCCGCGUCCAGAGCAAAGUCACGUCACCAGAGAUGCCCCAAAAGUGAGCUGACUGUCGUGACAAGUCCACAAGACAAGGUCCCUCCUCCAGCCACGGACCAGCCAGCGGGGCUCAAAGGGACACAGAUGAUCAGCCUCUUUUAAAAUCUGAAUUCCUACAAGGAGUCCAAAAGGAACCAUGAUGUAUAAAAGCUUCCACCAGCAAAGUAGUUUCUCUUGAACAUGCAAGACACAGGACCACAUGUGCCAAAACCCAACACAAAGGAGAAGACCAUUGUGUUGCAUUAAAAUUGUUUAUGAUAUAGAAUAUCUA
Molecule: long non-coding RNA, 713 nt
Organism: Talpa occidentalis (Iberian mole)
Lineage: Eukaryota; Metazoa; Chordata; Mammalia; Eulipotyphla; Talpidae
Exons: 3
Source: RefSeq, a predicted model, not a curated record